This 1152-nucleotide long non-coding RNA is filed under the name Homo sapiens (human). RNAcentral's name for it is "non-protein coding LINC02555:15". The record is from RNAcentral. Lineage: Eukaryota; Metazoa; Chordata; Mammalia; Primates; Hominidae.
AGAAGGCCAGAGCACCUGGGACCUUGUUUUACUAAAGCUUAUUAUGUUUCAGUGGCCCUGGUUCCCCAUGACAAAAGUACAAAGAGUACCCGCAAGAAGUAAGUUGAAGAUAAGGAGUGAGGAGAAGGAAGGUUAGUGGUAAGGCCACCAGUGAUUCUAACAGCAAAGGGACAAGAAAAAAGACUGGAACUUUAUUUAGAGGAUAAAGCUGAUGCCUGGCUUGCCAUCUUGCCCAGAUGGGACCUCAGGCAUAGGUUCCUAACUGUGAAUAUCCUGAUUUUGAAGAAAACAGUAGAUUAAUUUCAACUGCUGGCAGCUUUCACUUGACCUUGCAAAGGUUACAAUUAUCCAGAAAUCUCAUACCUAUGAGGGAAGCCAACUUCUGUGUCAUGAGGACAUUCAAGCAGCACUAUGGAGCCAUCCAUGUGGCUAGGAGCUGAAACUGAGCCAAGAAGCAGUGAGGAACUGGCUGGUAACAGCCAUGUGGGUAAAAGCCAUCUGAGAAGUGCAUGCUCUAGUCUCAGUCAAGCCUUCAGAAGACUGUGGCACCUGACAUCUCCACUGCAACCUCAUUAGAAACUCAAGACAGAACUGCCAGAGAAGCUCUUCCUGAAUUUCUGACCUACAGAAACGGAAGAAAUUGUGUUUUGGAAUUGGGCCAACAGUAUGUGUUUCUCCGGUGGAUAAGCAAAAUUUCAUAAGAACAAAGAUGAUUCAAGCAGAUGUUUAUCAUGAAACUGCCAUAAAAAGCACCCGAAGUCACAAAGAUAAACAUCAAAUCCAGUCCUUGGAAAUUUCCCCCACCCUACCUGAGCAUCUUUUGAAGUAGAUAUUCAAUUAUUUUGAAGGAUUUUUAAAGAAUUUUCUAGAUUUCAUCUAAAAGACACUUUUGAAAUCUGCGUUAAAAUUCAUGGAAAUAUAUCCUAGAUGAAUUUGGAGGAAUGUAAGCAAGUAGGUACAAACCUUUAUUUUAUCCCUCAGUGACUCACUCAGUUGUGAAUAGGAAGGGCUCUCUGUGAUCUGGCCACAGCUUAUUUCUUGCCACAUUCCUAUUUUCAGUCCUCUUCCAAUCAUGUGGAACUUCCAGCAUCUCCUUACACAUGCCAUGUUAUUUCACACUUUUGUGACUUUGCUCAUAUUUUUCUCUCUCCC